CGGGACGGGUGGGUAACGCGUGGGUAACCUGCCUCAUACAGGGGGAUAACAGUUGGAAACGACUGCUAAUACCGCAUAAGCGCACGGGAUUGCAUGAUCCAGUGUGAAAAACUCCGGUGGUAUGAGAUGGACCCGCGUCUGAUUAGCCAGUUGGCGGGGUAGCGGCCCACCAAAGCGACGAUCAGUAGCCGACCUGAGAGGGUGACCGGCCACAUUGGGACUGAGACACGGCCCAA
This 236-nucleotide ribosomal RNA is filed under the name uncultured bacterium. Its description in RNAcentral is "partial 16S ribosomal RNA". It matches the Rfam family "Bacterial small subunit ribosomal RNA", at positions 100 to 334 of the family's 1533-position model. The record is from RNAcentral.